RNAcentral lists this long non-coding RNA (204 nucleotides) under Mytilus galloprovincialis (Mediterranean mussel). Lineage: Eukaryota; Metazoa; Mollusca; Bivalvia; Mytilida; Mytilidae. The record is from RNAcentral.
AACAAUUACAAAAUUGUUUUCCAAAUAAUAGCUAUCUUAUUAUACAGUUCUUAUAACAAUGAUCUUAAUUGUUUUUUGUCAAAAAUAGCAGUGGUAGGAUUCCACAUUUGAACAGUCUGUAACGAAGGAAAAGUCACCAUUUCGAAAUCCUACACUUAUUGUAAUUUCAGCUUAGCCAACAUAAAAUUUAAAUUUACCGUCACC